UUUUCCAACACUCACCCGGGAAUUCCCAAGGAUGAAGAGGGACGUGACUUGGCACUCUUUGUUCUUGUUGACAGAUUUGACACUCCUUGCAAACUCUUUCUAUAUCCGUAUCAAUUUUAGGCCACCACACGUAUUUACGAGUCAGAGCUUUCAUUUUAACAAUGCCAGGGUGUCCUGAGUGAAUUUCCUGUAACACUGAUUUUCGAAAUUUGAAUGGUACAAUCACUCGUGUGCCCCAUAGCAGACAUCCCUGUUCUACUGACAGUUCAUCUCUUUUCGCGUAGAAUACUUUCAAAUCAUCUGACACUUCAAUUGGCCAACCUUCCAUGACAUAACGAAACACUUUAGAAAGUUCUUGAUCUGUUCUUGUCAUUCUGGCAAUCUGUGCUGCAUUUAGAGGAGCUUCUUGAAGAUGGUUUGUCAAAAGUGUGUUGAUAUUUGCUGAAAUGGCUUCUGUUCCUACAUCGGUAAUUUCAGGUAAUGGAAUUCGUGACAAGCCAUCUGCAUUUCCAUGAUCUUCUGCCUUGCGAUACAUGAUAUGAUAAUCAUAUGCCGACAAAAUUAUCGCCCACCGCUGAAUGCGAGCGGCAGCCAUCAUUGGGAAAUGCUUAUGUUCACCAAACAGAGUCACUAAUGGUCUAUGAUCAGUUAUCAAAUUAAAAAGAUCUUCCCCAAAGAUACUGAUGGAAUUUUUUAACUCCAUAGAUCACACUCAAAGCUUCCUUCUCAAUCUGUGAAUAUUUCUUUUCAGCAGGGGACAAAGUACGUGAAGCAUAUGCAAUGGGAUGCUCGUCACCAUUUGGCAUGAUGUGCUGAAGCACCGCACCAAUUCCAUAAGCGGAAGCAUCACAUGCUAAAGUCAAAGGCAUUGUGGAUCAUAGUAUACUAGCACUUUGUCACUGGUGAGCAAUUCUUUACAUCUACUAAAAGCACCUUGUUCCUUUUUCCCCCAGCACCAAGCAGUUUGUUCUUUCAACAGUCUAUACAGUGGUGCCAACACUGUGCUCUGCUGUGGUACAAAACGUCCAUAAUAAUUUACCAAACCUAAAAAAGCUCGUAGUUCCUUCACAUUUGAUGGUGCUGGCGCAUCUUGAAUAGCUUUUACCUUGUCUUUUGUUGGAUACACCCCUUUUUCAUCGAUCACAUGACCCAGGUACUCAAUCCGUGUUUGUCCCCACUCACAUUUACAUUUCUUUACUCUUAAGCCUGAUUCUUGAAGACGCUGUAAGACUUUGCAAAUGUUUGUUAGAUGUUCUUGCUCAUCUUUACCUGUGAUCAACAAAUCGUCCAAAUACACAAUCACUUUCAGAUCUUUCAUCAAAUUUUCCAUUAUUCGUUGAAAAAUGGAAGGGGCUGAACUGAUGCCAAAAGCAAGACGAUUAUACACAUAUAAUCCCUUGUGAGUGUUGAUUGUCGUAUACUUCUUAGAAUCAUUAUCCAGCACGACUUGUUGAUAUGCUUGUGCCAAAUCAAUCUUGGAAAA
Long non-coding RNA from Cyprinus carpio carpio, 1483 nucleotides. NCBI's taxonomy places the organism in Eukaryota, Metazoa, Chordata, Actinopteri, Cypriniformes, Cyprinidae. The record is from Ensembl.